This 745-nucleotide unclassified non-coding RNA is filed under the name Homo sapiens (human). RNAcentral's name for it is "tankyrase (ENSG00000285372.2)". The record is from RNAcentral. Lineage: Eukaryota; Metazoa; Chordata; Mammalia; Primates; Hominidae.
UUUCCACAUUUCGUUCAGUUGAAAAGGAGAUGUAUGAAAAUGUUUAUUAUGAUUUCAGAAAAAUAUGGAGGACACUUUAAAGCUGCUUGGAUUAACUUGUGAUAAACAUCAGACUUCAUGCAUACAAAGCCUUGCUAUGAUAUAACAAGUGAGAAGGAAAGAGUUAAAAGAUGUGCAAAUUAGUUCAGGCCAGAUGAAUUGCCCCUAUAUGAGGCAAGGUGACAUGAGAAUUUUUCAGAUUUCAAAAAAGACAUGGUUUGGCUAUUUCUUAACAAGGUGAAUACAAGAAAGACGAACUCCUAGAAGCUGCUAGGAGUGGUAAUGAAGAAAAACUAAUGGCUUUACUGACUCCUCUAAAUGUGAAUUGCCAUGCAAGUGAUGGGCGAAAGGUAAGUUAUUUUAAAUACAAUCCUCUUUAAUUGCAAUGCUUCAAAAUUUUGUGAAUGUGGCAUAUAUAUAUAUAAGCACGUAUACCUACAUGGCUUUAUUUUAACUGGCAUCUUUUCACUGUAAAUGAAAUGCUACUAUAUCUGUUAUUGGCAGUUGUGACACAUUCAUAGAACUGGUGAAGCAUGGAUCUUAAGUAAGCCUUUUCUCUUAAAUGUCAGACACAGCAAGUUAUUUGUUACAUGAAACUGCAGUUUUGUCGGUGAUUAAAAUUACAGCAUAUGCUCUUUUCUGGGUAUGAUAAUGGAAACUGGAAAUAUGAGUGUCCUAUUUACCCAUCUUUGUUAAGACAUUUGUG